RNAcentral lists this ribosomal RNA (1058 nucleotides) under uncultured bacterium. RNAcentral's name for it is "bacterial SSU rRNA". It matches the Rfam family "Bacterial small subunit ribosomal RNA", at positions 74 to 1133 of the family's 1533-position model. The record is from RNAcentral.
AGUAGCUUGCUACUUUUGAGAGCGGCGGACGGGUGAGGAAUACCUGGGAAUCUGCCCGAUAGUGGGGGACAACGUUUCGAAAGGAACGCUAAUACCGCAUACGUCCUACGGGAGAAAGCAGGCUUAUGCUUGCGCUAUCGGAUGAGCCCAGGUCGGAUUAGCUAGUUGGUAGGGUAAAGGCCUACCAAGGCGACGAUCCGUAACUGGUCUGAGAGGAUGAUCAGUCACACCGGAACUGAGACACGGUCCGGACUCCUACGGGAGGCAGCAGUGGGGAAUAUUGGACAAUGGGGGCAACCCUGAUCCAGCCAUGCCGCGUGUGUGAAGAAGGCCUUCGGGUUGUAAAGCACUUUCAGCGAGGAGGAAAGCAGUGAGGUUAAUACCCUCAUUGUGUGACGUUACUCGCAGAAGAAGCACCGGCAAACUCCGUGCCAGCAGCCGCGGUAAUACGGAGGGUGCGAGCGUUAAUCGGAAUUACUGGGCGUAAAGCGCGCGUAGGCGGUUUGUUAAGCCAGAUGUGAAAGCCCUGGGCUCAACCUAGGAACGGCAUCUGGAACUGGCAAGCUAGAGUACAGUAGAGGAAGGUGGAAUUCCACGUGUAGCGGUGAAAUGCGUAGAUAUGUGGAGGAACAUCAGUGGCGAAGGCGGCCUUCUGGACUGAUACUGACGCUGAGGUGCGAAAGCGUGGGGAGCAAACAGGAUUAGAUACCCUGGUAGUCCACGCCGUAAACGAUGUCAACUAGCCGUUGGAAUCCUUGAGAUUUUAGUGGCGCAGCUAACGCACUAAGUUGACCGCCUGGGGAGUACGGCCGCAAGGUUAAAACUCAAAUGAAUUGACGGGGGCCCGCACAAGCGGUGGAGCAUGUGGUUUAAUUCGAUGCAACGCGAAGAACCUUACCUACUCUUGACAUCCAGAGAACUCAGCAGAGAUGCUUUGGUGCCUUCGGGAACUCUGAGACAGGUGCUGCAUGGCUGUCGUCAGCUCGUGUUGUGAAAUGGUGGGGUUAAGUCCCGUAACGAGCGCAACCCCUAUCCUUAUUUGCCAGCGAGUAAUGUCG